Long non-coding RNA from Daucus carota subsp. sativus, 1386 nucleotides. RefSeq lists it as uncharacterized. Lineage: Eukaryota; Viridiplantae; Streptophyta; Magnoliopsida; Apiales; Apiaceae. The transcript is spliced from 3 exons. The record is from RefSeq and is a predicted model, not a curated record.
AGUUGAAUGCUUGAUUUUCAUCAGUUGAAACAUCAUCCAGUCUUCAUCAGUUGAAUAGUUACAUCUCAUCAGUUGAAUAUCCUUCACUUAGAUAAAAUUACAUGGCAUUGGAUAUUUACAAUUAGCCAUCCUAUUCUACCCAUCCGUUGAUAAUUCCCAAAGAUAAGAAAUAUAACAAUUAUAACUGAAACUUGAUAAAGAUUCUAAGUAAGACAUGUUACAAAAUGUUUAUGUUAUCAUCAAAAAUUAUUUAUUCCUAACACAUUUCAUCAUGCUCUACAUUACUGUUUCCAACCUUCACAACAAGCUCGAAGGAGAAGUCAACCAGACCGAUGUGCGCAAGCUAAUUGGUAAGAUGAGAAAAGAAGGGUUUGUUGAAGCUCGAAGCAACAGAAGACUUGGUAUGCAAAUUGAGCAUUAUAAUUACUUUCAGUGCAUGAAUCAUAUUUGUUGGUCGAUGUUUACAUAUUCCUUUUAUUUCUGCAGGCAAGCGUCUGAUCUGUUCUGAUUUAACUGAGAAAAAAUAGCAUGAAGUCAAGAAAAACUUGAACCUUAAUGAGAUGGUGGAAGUUCUUUAGGAACAUUAUAAUGCAGGGUUCUUUAAUUUUCCUGUAAAUAGAUUUUUAAUAUGCAGAUUCUCAGAACCUGAGACAAUUGGUACGUAAUUGAUCAAAUGAUUUUUCUAUAAUUUGAACAGAAUGAUUCAAUACUUUAACUGUGCAAUGAUAACUCGGAAGAAAGGAACUUGUCUACUUGAUGCGGAGUUCGCUCCAUCGGAUCAGAUCUAACUCGCAUGAGAGGCAAAUUUGAAGCUUAUCAGAACAGAUCCGUCAGGAGUGAACAUACUGUUGUAAAGACGAAAGAGCAUGGGACCCCACAAGCAGAGCUCAGCCAGCAGCUUCUAGAGAGAGUUUUGCACAAGUAAUGGAAACUGGCAGAAGCAAUGGAAACCAUGACAAUUGCAGUGAGUUUGAUGCAAUCAUGUGUAGCAAGUCGUCAUCCCAGAGCAAGCGGUCCAGAAAAGCAACCGUUGUUAAGGUGUUAAGGAUCAUGUCCUUUCAGGUCGCCUGGAAAGAAUCGGAUUGUAGGGCCUAGUGAUGAUUUCCAGGGUUUCUUUCUACUUUUCCAGCGUCAUGAAACAGAGAGACUCGUCUACUGCAUAUAUCACUUGAAUUAGUUUUUUUCCUUUUCUUUGUUCAUCGGUAUUUUCACGACAUUCUGUCCCAUUUCAUGCAACACUUUCAUCGAGUAUGUUUGUGAUUCAUACUAGGCCCGUGCAUUGCACGGACGCUAAUGCUAGUUUUUGAAAGUAAAAGAAAAUGUAUUUCAGCAGCCAACAAAAAGAGUUUUUUUUAUAAAAUUUAAGCACAACAUUAUAAACAAAAA